UUUCAGAUUGGAGACUGAAAAGAAGAGAAGUUAAGGAACUUGUCUAAGAUUAUCAAGCAAAAAUUUAAAGCUGAAGUUUCAAUAUUUUCUUAGAAAACAAGAAAAGUUAGUGAUCUCAUUAUAGAACGACUGUUACAGUGGCUUCAGCAGAAUCAGUGGUGGUGUCAACAGCAUCUGGAGCAGAGAGGGCAAGCUUAGUUCAUAUGAAGCAGCAAUAGCAACAGAAGAAAAGGCAGUGACAUCACCCUCAGCUUGUUGGAGGAGCCUAUGGGCCAGCUAAUGAAAAAUACAGGAGUCUGAAUAGCAGGG
Long non-coding RNA from Gorilla gorilla gorilla (western lowland gorilla), 309 nucleotides. RefSeq lists it as uncharacterized. Lineage: Eukaryota; Metazoa; Chordata; Mammalia; Primates; Hominidae. The transcript has 3 exons. The record is from RefSeq and is a predicted model, not a curated record.